Mytilus californianus (California mussel) is the source of this 3699-nucleotide long non-coding RNA. RefSeq lists it as uncharacterized. The record is from RefSeq and is a predicted model, not a curated record. NCBI's taxonomy places the organism in Eukaryota, Metazoa, Mollusca, Bivalvia, Mytilida, Mytilidae. The transcript has 6 exons.
AGAGAAUCCCAACAAGCAAGAAAAGAAGAUAGCAGAAUGGUGUUUGAAAAUAAAGAUACAAACCGGUUGGCAAGUUUAAAAGCGAUAUGUCUAUUGUAACUGCUUCAUAUAGAAUUAUCAAAUGGUUCGGUAUCAUGGAGCUUAGCCACUAGACCAGCAGUGUUUGGAAAAGAUGUUGAAUUACACUGUAAUAUGGAUGAUAAUACUACAAUCAACAAUCACAGACAUUGGAGUAAAGGAGACAACGUUAGAGAAUUGGUGGUAAAUGGCAAGACUGUAAACGAUACAAAAUAUUCAGAAAAGUUAGACGAGGCAAACCGUACAUCGAUUUUAACUAUUACGUCAUUAGAAUCUGGUGACGUGAACGUGCCAUAUACAUGCCAACAUGGUUUUCAUACGUACAAGAAAGUUUUAAAUAUGACCGUGGAAAACUUCGAAAAUCAUCCAAACAGCAACAACACUAUUUUCAAGCAAGAUGACGACCAUAUAUUAUUUUUAAUGAAAUUUGAAAAAGUGUUUCCAUUUCCAGCUUGCAGAGCGUCUAUUGGGGGUAAAAAUAUAACGCAAUUGUUGAACAUAAGUUCCGUUCGAAAUCAUGUAUUUUACAAAGUUGAAAUUAGCCUGAAAUAUCAUCACAUCUCGAAAAAUUGCAUUCAUCAUCCGUUAGAGCUGGACUGCUGCGUCUGCACAAAGACUAUCAAACAACGUUUUGAAACAGCGAAUGAAGUGUGUCUUGAGAUUGAACAAAACAAGUACAUCAGGAUCAAGACAAAGACCAGACUUUUGGACUCUUGGGACGUGCGGUAUUUGUACUUUUACUAGUAGUGGUUGUUGGCAGUUUCAUUGUUAGUAUUGUCAUCGACAAAUGUGGAAAAUGUACUUGACAAUUUGAUAAAAAACAAUUUUACAUUCUAUGUAGCUUUUCAAAUUGGUUUUGUUUACAGUGAACCCGAAUACGUUACUAUUAAAAUAGAACAUGCAUUUAUCUAAUGAAUUUAAGACUCAUAUAAUCAAUGAAUCUGUAAAAAUUACAAAAUAUAGCAAUGCUAUAAUGGAGCAAAUUUUCUUAAAAAGCAGAUGUGACUUUUAAUAUUUAAGUUCAAACUUUUUAAUUACUAUUAACGCAUCUAGUAAGAUCUGAUGCAAUAAAUAAAUUAUCAAUUUGUCAAAUCUUUAGCAGUCAUACUAUUUCCUUACUUGGAGAGACAUGUAAUUGUUAUUGUUUAGUUCAUCUCUUGCGUUCGUCGUCGUGGUGCAUUCGUCUGUCGUUUUAAACCAGGUUUAAUCAACCAUUGUCUACCUAAGAAAAUGUCUGUACCAGGAUUAUGACAGAUGUUAUCCAUUCGUUUGAUGUGUUUGAGCUUUCGAUUUUGCCAUUUGAUUAGGAACUUUUCUCGGUGUUCGGUAUUUUUGAUAUUUUACUUUUUAAACUUUUUCAAAUGUCGCCUUUUUUUAAAAUAUUCUUCUUGAUAUUACCAAACUUUCUUUUAAUGUUCCUUACGCGAUCUUGUUUAAAAAUAAUAUAUCGUCAGGGUCUAUCUUCUAUGGAGUAAUUUGAAAAAUGUUUGCAAUUUUUCUUUUUUUUAUUAUCUUUAAAACUCUUACAGAGAGACAAACACUUAAAUAGUAUAAAGUGCAAAGCUAAUGAGACCUUACACAUAAGUGAACAUACCCGAAAUCGUUAAUUGGUUCCUAUAUAUAGAGUUAUUGAAUUUAAUUAAAGAGAUCAUUUUUACCCUUUUGUCAUAUUUGCAAAAACGAUAUACAUGAUAUGCUUAAUAUAAUUUACGUAUGAGUCUAAUUUGUAAAUUGGCUCUUUUAUGAGUUAUUGCACUUAAAAGACAAAAGUUUACCUUGUUUUUGUUUUCUUGAUGAAAUUAUUAUACUUUGUAUAGAACCAAAUUUUCCAAAGCAAAAAUGUUCUGCCAAAAAUGACUUUCGAAACCGGCAAUUGACCGUUUAUAGGAGUUAUUAUCCUUUGAAGAAAAUAUUUACCCCUUUUACGGUAUUUGCAGAAACUGUAAUAGAAAGAAACAAAUUGUAAUAGGGAUAAUGAUCGGCAAAAUAAGGUUUAUAAAUUAGUCAACAAUUUCUGAAAUUUUCCUUAUUAUAGUUGUGUUCUUGAAAAAUAAUGGUCACCUUUUUUUGGUCGAAACUAUAUAAAAAACAAAGAGUGAUUGUAGCUAGUAAAACAUGUUCAACAUCAUAAGAUCUAUAAUAUAGUUAUCCUUAAACCGUUUAUUUACUCCAGAUAUUAAAAUAAUAAAAAAAAUUAGAUGCCCAGUAAAACUCAUUCAAUAAGUUUGGAAAUUUACUUAGUCAAUGAUUAUUAUAGUAAAUAGGAUUGUGUACUAAAAUGUGUAAGAGAAGAGGGGCGAAAAAUACAAGAGGGGCAGUCAAACUCAUAGAUAGAAAAUAAACUGAAAACGCCAUGGCUAAAAAUAAAAAAACACAACAGACCACGUUUAAUGGUCGCACAUUUUCUUUAAAUUUUGAAACUGAUAUCAAAUGAAAAACAAACAGCAUUAUCUAUUUACUCACAUGAAACAAACCGGGAUGCGAUAUUCAGUACGUAGGUGAAACUGGACGAUAUUUAUCAAAACGCACACAAGACCACCUGUAUCGUUUUAAAAGACCCAAUGAAUUCAAAAGUAUCAUUUAUCAACACAGUAAGAAGCACAAUCAUCCUAUCAAAUAUUUAACAGUUCAACCUUUAGAAGUAGUGAAUAAGCAGCCUGGUGAAUCUCAUUCAAAGUUUGUACGAUCACGGAAAAUAAUUGAAUUAAAUUGGAUUAAAUAAAUACAGACAGUCUACCCUCUCGGUCUUAAUGAUAAUAUCAUAGGAAUUGGUAAUAUAUCAAGAACCGAUUCUAUUAACAUUUUGGAUAUAGUUUCUAAAACUGUUCGUAAAAACCGUUCUCAUGGGCGUAGAAAAAAUCGCAAUCAAAGAAAAUUUCGGACCAACUAUACAAAUAUUUUGGACCUUAUUUCUAUUUCAAAAAACAACGGCAGACAUUAUCUGUUAACCAAGCUCUGUUAUUUACCUGUAAAUAGAUUAAAUAAAAUUUUAGAGGAUUGCAACAUAAUUCCAUAUUGCAGUCCUAAGUAUGAAAUCGUUCAAAUUAUGAUAGCAUAUUGUUAUUCUAGUCUGUUCCCCAAAAUUGAUCGCCCUGAAGAUCGUUCUGUUAAAGAACAAAUUCCUGGAUAUUUUGAUAAUACUGAACUCCCUCUUAUUUGUUAUGUUUACAAGAAACCUUCCCGAAAAUAUGUGCUUAAUUAUAGCCAAGUGUGUAAAGAUGUAAAUAUCAGUGAAAAUACACCUACGUCAUGUAAUUGCAGUAAUUUCGAAAACAUUUAUGGCCCCAUUUCCCAUGUUAUAACAGGAGACCUUAACAUCGUUCGCGACCGAGAGUUAAAUUCGUUCCUCAGUAAAGGACCUAAAUAUCGUCCCCCGUCAAUUAUUAAUUGGAAUGAGUGUCAUCCACGACUCACUCCGUACUUACUGUUUGAAAUGGAUAAAACGAGAAAAAGCUGACAAAAAAUCUUUGGACUCUUUUUUUAAUUCAGUAAUGAACAUAGUUGAUAUACGUAUACAACAUUUUAAAGAAUAUUUUACUCUUAACAACAACCAUAAAAACCCCAUUCCUCGUAUCAAACAUAAACUAAAAGAACUAGCCAAGGAAUUUGUUUUUGUCCCGG